CGGGUUGCAGCAGGCGUGAAAACUGUACAAUUCUGGCAAGAGUAAUAAGCGGACCUCGAGUGCCACGAUACAAUUUUGGCAGUCAUGAAGCUUAAAAAGCAACCCACAGCAAGCACCCGUCAAGACCAGUUCCGGCCGCCGGGGUAACACAUGCGGCUCGAUGUGGUAAGCGUUAGUACCUGGUCUUAAGGGUCGGUACCCUGCGGGACAAUUCUCAUGGGAAAUCCAGCAGGUCAAAUGGCGGGUCUUCGGGAGACACUGAUUGCCUCGAGCCCUGGCAGACGUCAGAGGUAAUUCAGGGGUAGGGGCGAAAUCCAGUAAUCCUUGAAGGACCUCCACAGGAGAAGGCGUCUCACCAGAACGGCCCUGUACGGCAAGGGAAUAAACCUAGGCAGCACGAAGCCGGAGUUAGAUACCCGGGUAGUGGCACCAGCAAACGAUAUCUCGUUAGGUGUCAGGCAAGGUGCGACCGUGGUUGGUGCGGUAGGGAAGCCGUGAAGCGAGCCACCUCGGAAGUACGGCCGCAAGCCUGAAACUUAAAGGAAUCGGCGGGGCGCACAAG
RNAcentral lists this ribosomal RNA (562 nucleotides) under uncultured archaeon. Its description in RNAcentral is "bacterial SSU rRNA". It matches the Rfam family "Archaeal small subunit ribosomal RNA", at positions 326 to 882 of the family's 1478-position model. The record is from RNAcentral.